Molecule: long non-coding RNA, 689 nt
Organism: Pecten maximus
Lineage: Eukaryota; Metazoa; Mollusca; Bivalvia; Pectinida; Pectinidae
Exons: 2
Source: RefSeq, a predicted model, not a curated record
UGACAUUUGGGUAUUAUUUAGAUUUAUCCAUUUUUGUACUACUGUGCAUGUACAGGCUCCGUAUUUAUCAUAUGUAUAUGUGUACGCAGUUGUAUCGUAUGCUAUUUAUAUAUAUAUGUAAACCUGUUUAACAGGUCAGAGGUCAGAGUUAUUUUUAUAGUAGAGUGACCAUGGGUCAAUGCGCACCCGCGCUUUUUAGGGUAGCGUCACUCCCGUACUAGGCACCGUUGUGAGUGGACGUGUAUAUGUUGCGUCUAUAUAUUUAGCGCAUCCGUGUUGUACCAAUCUACAUCACUGUGAGUACUUCAUAAUUUCUAACUUUAAUGUAUAUUGUAUUGUAUGUAGUAAUAUUUGGAUAUGUUGAAUGUCAAUUAUUUCCUUUAUAAAUUAAUUGAAAUAAUUUACUUAUUGGUAAAGAUUGUCCAGAAAUUGAAUUUCCCGCCACUUUGUUAUUAAUUAUUCCGUGUGGAUAAACGUUUUGGUUUAGCUGAUAGGCGUUAUGCAUUUAGCCUUUUAUAUUAAACAUUGUAGUUAGUAUACGGUGCUAGUACAUGUUAGUAAAUAUUGUUUAUUUUAUUAUUGUAGCAUUUAUAUGCGCUGUAAUAUUGUACGGGUUGUCUCCCCGGGAGUCGAGCCCUCUUCGUCAAAUGAAGAGGGUGUUUUAUGGACUAAUAAAUUAUGAAUUGGAA